Long non-coding RNA from Pseudophryne corroboree (corroboree frog), 590 nucleotides. RefSeq lists it as uncharacterized. NCBI's taxonomy places the organism in Eukaryota, Metazoa, Chordata, Amphibia, Anura, Myobatrachidae. The transcript has 3 exons. The record is from RefSeq and is a predicted model, not a curated record.
GCAGCCAUGAGAAGAGAAGCAGCACUAACAGCCAGCCACACGAGGAGCCAAGGCUCAGACAGAAAAAGAUGAGGAUCCCCAGAGAAUAGACACUACACCGAAAAAGCGUGGCUAAAGGAGUUUAUUAGCACUAUGGUUCUCACCACUGCUUGACAACUGAGGGGAUUGUGGAUCCUCGCUUUGUGGACUGGCCAAAAUUGCUUGUGGUGGCAGGGACAACACUGCGGAGAUGCGCCGUUGGGGUGGUGAUGAUGGUGCUGCUGAUUCAGCCUCAAGACGGCGUCUCUUGGUUGGCCUCCUAGGCACAGUCACCGAGCCCUGCGAUGGGCGCCUUAGUGGAGGGGGGUUUGCAGAAGAAGAACCUAUGUGAUAAGAUAAACAUUAGCAUUUUGUGUUUCUAUGUGUUUGCUGAAUAUGUGUUUACAGUUAAAUCUUACCUGCAUUCCCACCAUCUGCAUCACUUGGCAGUGUUGGAUGUGGCCUGGCUGUGCUGCUUCUCUUUCGUACUGUAAAAAUAUGAAGAAUGACCUUAUGAACAUACUUUUUUUUUAUCAAUGUUUGUGCAAAAUCCUUAUUGUGAUGUAAACAUA